GCUAAGAAAGUGGUGGGAAGGAGGAGGGUGGAACAGAGCUUUAUGGACCCUUUUCUUCAAAACUACUACAGAGUUAACUGGCCAAUCCGGACUACAAAUUAUCUCAUCCGAAGGAUUAGAGUUAGAUAACAUGGGUCUUCAAGUUCAAAAGCUUUACUGGCAAAACAACAAACCUGCAUGCUGUAACUCUUUUGCAGUGAGGGGGACGGUGCUACCUGGCAAUUGAGAAGAG
This 232-nucleotide long non-coding RNA is filed under the name Linum usitatissimum (flax). RNAcentral describes it as "long non-coding RNA (LUSI_LNC000961)". Lineage: Eukaryota; Viridiplantae; Streptophyta; Magnoliopsida; Malpighiales; Linaceae. The record is from RNAcentral.